Molecule: ribosomal RNA, 463 nt
Filed under: uncultured bacterium
Lineage: Bacteria
Description: partial 16S ribosomal RNA
Rfam family: Bacterial small subunit ribosomal RNA
Source: RNAcentral
GACGAACGCUGGCGGCGUGCUUAACACAUGCAAGUCGAACGGAAAGGCCCUGCUUUUGUGGGGUGCUCGAGUGGCGAACGGGUGAGUAACACGUGAGUAACCUGCCCUUGACUUUGGGAUAACUUCAGGAAACUGGGGCUAAUACCGGAUAGGAGCUCCUGCUGCAUGGUGGGGGUUGGAAAGUUUCGGCGGUUGGGGAUGGACUCGCGGCUUAUCAGCUUGUUGGUGGGGUAGUGGCUUACCAAGGCUUUGACGGGUAGCCGGCCUGAGAGGGUGACCGGCCACAUGGGGACUGAGAUACGGCCAAGACUCCUACGGGGAGCAGCAGUGGGGAAUAUUGCACAAGGGGCGGAAGCCUGAUGCAGCAACGCCGCGGGCGGGAUGACGGCCUUCGGGUUGUAAACCGCUUUCGCCUGUGACGAAGCGUGAGUGACGGUAAUGGGUAAAGAAGCACCGGCUAACU